RNAcentral lists this small RNA (28 nucleotides) under Bombyx mori (domestic silkworm). RNAcentral's name for it is "ovarian small RNA-25584". The record is from RNAcentral. Lineage: Eukaryota; Metazoa; Arthropoda; Insecta; Lepidoptera; Bombycidae.
UCAGACACAAGUUUUGAUCGCCUCUAUU